RNAcentral lists this ribosomal RNA (425 nucleotides) under uncultured bacterium. Its description in RNAcentral is "bacterial SSU rRNA". It matches the Rfam family "Bacterial small subunit ribosomal RNA", at positions 354 to 796 of the family's 1533-position model. The record is from RNAcentral.
GUGGGGAAUAUUGGACAAUGGGCGCAAGCCUGAUCCAGCCAUGCCGCGUGAGUGAUGAAGGCCCUAGGGUUGUAAAGCUCUUUCACCGAUGAAGAUAAUGACGGUAGUCGGAGAAGAAGCCCCGGCUAACUUCGUGCCAGCAGCCGCGGUAAUACGAAGGGGGCUAGCGUUGUUCGGAAUUACUGGGCGUAAAGCGCACGUAGGCGGAUAUUUAAGUCCGGGGUGAAAUCCCGGGGCUCAACCCCGGAACUGCCUUUGAUACUGGGUAUCUCGAGUAUGGAAGAGGUGAGUGGAAUUCCGAGUGUAGAGGUCAAAUUCGUAGAUAUUCGGAGGAACACCAGUGGCGAAGGCGGCUCACUGGUCCAUUACUGACGCUGAGGUGCGAAAGCGUGGGGAGCAAACAGGAUUAGAUACCCUAGUAGUCC